AUGGGCGGCGGCGGCGGCGGCGCGCCGCACCCAUGUGAGACCCGAGUGGAUGAGCACGUACGCCAGAAAAUGGCCUCGUUGCCAAUCCCCGGUGAUCUCCUAGCGGACAUCUUCCUUCGCCUGCCCACGCCAGCCGACCUCAUCCGUGCCGCUGUCGGCUGCAUCUCCUUCCACAACAUCAUCACCGACCGCUCCUUCCUCUGCCGUUUCCGCAAGCUCCACAACCCGCCCCUCCUCGGAUUGCUCGACAAUCAUCGAGUCUUCCACCCUGCCAACCCGCCUCACCCCUCCGCGCCGGCAGCCAGUGCCGUCGCUGUUGCCGCUGACUUUUCCUUCUCUUUCCUUCCUGGCGCCAGCCACAACUGGGCCAUCCAGGACAUUCGCGAUGGCCGUGUCCUCCUCAACAAAAUCCAUGGGAGGGAUGGUAUCGGUCAGAAGUGGAGAAUAUUCAAGGAUAUGGUGGUGUGCGACCCCCUGCACCGACGGUAUUUCCUGCUCCCGCCAAUCCCCGAGGAUCUAGUAAAUCCAGUGGAGGAGCCACACUUUAUGGAAGAGGUAUAUUAUUUGUACCAGAUCUUCCUUUUGCCUCCCUGUGACAAUGAUGAGGAGGCAACAGCUGUGGAAGAGACGUCAUUUAGAGUGGUUUUGAUGGCAUGGUGUGAAACUACGAUGGUUGCCUUUGUCUUCUCUUCUAGUACUAGACAAUGGCGAGCCAUUCCAUCCCUGGGCUGGGAUACUUUAGUUGCUAACUUGCCACUGAGAGGAUAUUGUCUCUUCGCCGCACGCCAAUACGCGUAUGGCUGUUUCUACUGGAUGUUACAUUUUUGCAAGAAAAUAUUGGUGCUUGACACUCGGAAGAUGGAGUUCUACAUUGCUAACCCCCCACCUGCAAUAUGUUUUUCUUUUCUGGAUAUAGCCAUUGUGGAGGCAGGGGAAGGUAGAGUUGGGAUGUUUGUGCCAGGAAUAGGCAGAAAUGGACUUGAAUUCUAUACAAUGUGGAGAAACAAUGGUGGGACUUACAUGCAGUGGAAGUUGGAGAAGACGAUCUCAGUUCAUUUUUUGCACUACUCUGCGGGUUCAAAUGGGAAACACUUGUUCAUAUAUGAUGUGGAAAGCCCGUCGGUUAGCUAUGGUUGUUUCUCACUAGACAUCAAGACAUUCCAGCUUAAAAGGGUGUGUUCUUCAAAGACAUGGAUCCCUAAUCCGCUUGCAUAUAGCAACUUUCCACCAUCAAUUUUGGCAUCACCAACAAUAGCAAGUGGUACUCAGGAAGGUGAGAAGGAGAUGCUGGAACAAGGCGCGAAAACUCUGCAAGCUGAAGAACAUGUGGACAGCCAGCAUGGUGGGAGCACCAGUGAUGGUGUUGAUGCUGGAGGUCACCCUGGCAUGCCGAGGAUCAGAGAUGGCACUGAUUGA
This 1416-nucleotide ribosomal RNA is filed under the name Triticum aestivum (bread wheat). Its description in RNAcentral is "partial small subunit ribosomal RNA". The record is from RNAcentral. Lineage: Eukaryota; Viridiplantae; Streptophyta; Magnoliopsida; Poales; Poaceae.